UGAUGGUGACAUUUUACGAUAUCCCCGAUCAGUAUAUCCCGAUGACUAAUUUUGGUAAAGUUGUAAAUCCAUCCAUGGUGUCCUCGAGCAUGUUCGUCCUCGAGACACAAGGCCCGACCACAUCUCCAUCACGCUUCGCAUAUUGCAAAUAUGUGUCCUCGGGCAUGAUCCUCGGGAAUAUGCUCCCCCUUACUGCUGACGAUUGUUCACCCUUUAGAAUUCCUACGCAAUUAGGAAUCUUAACUCCCACAAGAGUCCUAUCUCACGCAUA
This 271-nucleotide long non-coding RNA is filed under the name Olea europaea (common olive). RNAcentral's name for it is "long non-coding RNA (OEUR_LNC006882)". The record is from RNAcentral. Lineage: Eukaryota; Viridiplantae; Streptophyta; Magnoliopsida; Lamiales; Oleaceae.